Long non-coding RNA from Salvelinus fontinalis (brook trout), 243 nucleotides. RefSeq lists it as uncharacterized. The record is from RefSeq and is a predicted model, not a curated record. NCBI's taxonomy places the organism in Eukaryota, Metazoa, Chordata, Actinopteri, Salmoniformes, Salmonidae. The transcript has 4 exons.
GUGGGUGCCUGGCUAACUCCGGAGGUGGUGGGUGCCUGGCUAACUCCGGAGGUGGUGGGUGCCUGGCUAACUCCGGAGGUGGUGGGUGUCCGGCUAACUCCGGAGGUGGUGGGUGUCUGACUAACUCCGGAGGUGGUGGGUGCCUGACUAACUCCGGAGGUGGUGGGUGCCUGGCUAACUCCGGAGGUGGUGGGUGCCUGGCUAACUCCGGAGGUGGUGGGUGUCCGGCUAACUCCGGAGGUG